This 429-nucleotide ribosomal RNA is filed under the name bacterium. RNAcentral describes it as "partial 16S ribosomal RNA". It matches the Rfam family "Bacterial small subunit ribosomal RNA", at positions 355 to 776 of the family's 1533-position model. The record is from RNAcentral.
UGGGGAAUCUUCCGCAAUGGACGAAAGUCUGACGGAGCAACGCCGCGUGAGUGAUGACGGCCUUCGGGUUGUAAAGCUCUGUUAAUCGGGACGAAUGGUUCUUGUGCGAAUAGUGCAAGGCUUUGACGGUACCGGAAUAGAAAGCCACGGCUAACUACGUGCCAGCAGCCGCGGUAAUACGUAGGUGGCAAGCGUUGUCCGGAAUUAUUGGGCGUAAAGCGCGCGCAGGCGGAUUGGUCAGUCUGUCUUAAAAGUUCGGGGCUUAACCCCGUGAUGGGAUGGAAACUGCCAAUCUAGAGUAUCGGAGAGGAAAGUGGAAUUCCUAGUGUAGCGGUGAAAUGCGUAGAUAUUAGGAAGAACACCAGUGGCGAAGGCGACUUUCUGGCCGAAAACUGACGCUGAGGCGCGAAAGCCAGGGGAGCGAACGGG